RNAcentral lists this ribosomal RNA (1173 nucleotides) under Triticum aestivum (bread wheat). Its description in RNAcentral is "partial small subunit ribosomal RNA". Lineage: Eukaryota; Viridiplantae; Streptophyta; Magnoliopsida; Poales; Poaceae. The record is from RNAcentral.
AUGGAGUCCGCCGGCUACUACACCAACUGCAAGAAGACCGACGGAAUCUGCGAGGGCAUCUGCGACGGCGAGCAUGGUUCAAAGGCUGUUCUGAGCAUGUCAAGGCUGAAGUGUGCACUUCGGGGGUUUGAUUUAAAGGCCCUUCUGUUCCUGCUGAUUGGUGUGCCGAUUAUAAUCUUUGUCAUAUAUGUUCAUGGCCAGAAGGUCACUUAUUUCCUCAGACCAAUCUGGGAGAAGCCCCCGAAGCCUUUCACAGUACUUCCUCACUACUAUCAUGAAAAUGCUUCGAUGGCAAACCUCUGCAAGUUGCAUGGAUGGAAGGUCCGGGAGGCUCCACGGCGUGUCUUUGACGCGGUGCUUUUCAGCAACGAGCUCGACAUUCUUGAUAUCCGUUGGCACGAGCUUAGCCCGUAUGUGUCAGAAUUUGUGCUGCUCGAGUCCAAUUCAACAUUUACUGGCCUUGAAAAGAAGCUCCACUUCAAGGAAAACCGCCAAAAGUUUGAGUUUGCUGAAUCACGGUUGACCUAUGGUAUGAUAGGCGGAAGGUUUGUGAAGGGGGAGAACCCAUUUGUGGAGGAAUCCUAUCAGAGAGUCGCGCUUGACCAGCUUCUAAAGAUCGCCGGAAUCACCGACGAUGACCUGUUGAUUAUGUCGGAUGUUGAUGAGAUCCCAAGUGGCCAUACAAUCAACCUGUUGAGAUGGUGCGAUGAUACGCCCGAGAUACUUCACCUUCAGCUGAAGAACUAUCUCUACUCAUUUCAAUUUAUGCUUGAUGAUAAGAGUUGGAGGGCUUCGGUACACAGAUACCGAGCGGGGAAGACGAGGUAUGCCCAUUACCGGCAGACUGAUGACCUUCUGGCGGACUCGGGGUGGCACUGCAGCUUUUGCUUUCGGUACAUAAAUGAUUUUGUCUUCAAAAUGAAAGCCUACAGCCAUGUGGACCGGAUCAGAUUCAGCUACUUCUUGAACCCCAAAAGAAUUCAGCAUGUGAUAUGCCAAGGGGCUGAUCUCUUUGAUAUGCUUCCGGAGGAGUACACGUUCCAAGAGAUCAUCGCCAAGCUUGGGCCGAUCCCAAGUACGUAUUCGGCGGUUCAUCUUCCCGCCUAUCUGCUCGAGAAGGUUGAUCAGUACAGGUAUCUUCUUCCUGGCAACUGCAUGAGAGAAAGUGGGUAG